RNAcentral lists this transfer RNA (87 nucleotides) under Paravannella minima. RNAcentral's name for it is "tRNA-Ser". It matches the Rfam family "tRNA". From Rfam's summary of the family: Transfer RNA (tRNA) molecules are approximately 80 nucleotides in length. Lineage: Eukaryota; Discosea; Flabellinia; Vannellidae. The record is from RNAcentral.
GGGAAGAUGACUGAGUUGGUUUAAGGUGAUAGUUUGCUAAAUUAUUGUAUAUUUAUUAUACCGUGGGUUCGAAUCCCAUUCUUCCUU